This 700-nucleotide ribosomal RNA is filed under the name uncultured bacterium. Its description in RNAcentral is "bacterial SSU rRNA". It matches the Rfam family "Bacterial small subunit ribosomal RNA", at positions 8 to 743 of the family's 1533-position model. The record is from RNAcentral.
AGAGUUUGAUCCUGGCUCAGGAUGAACGCUGGCGGCGUGCCUAAUACAUGCAAGUCGAGCGGUAACAGACCUUCGGGUGCUGACGAGCGGCGGACGGGUGAGUAACGCGUGGGAAUCUACCCCAGACUGAGGGAUAACUCCGAGAAAUCGGGGCUAAUACCGCAUACGGUCUUCGGAUUAAAGCUUCGGCGGUUUGGGAAGAGCCCGCGUAAGAUUAGCUAGUUGGUAAGGUAAUGGCUUACCAAGGCAACGAUCUUUAACUGGUUUGAGAGGAUGAUCAGUCACACUGGAACUGAGACACGGUCCAGACUCCUACGGGAGGCAGCAGUAAGGAAUUUUCCACAAUGGGCGAAAGCCUGAUGGAGCAACGCCGCGUGCAGGAUGAAGGCCUUAGGGUUGUAAACUGCUUUUGUCUGUGUAGAAUAUGACGGUAACAGACGAAUAAGGAUCGGCUAACUCCGUGCCAGCAGCCGCGGUCAUACGGAGGAUCCAAGCGUUAUCCGGAUUUACUGGGUGUAAAGAGUUGCGUAGGUGGUAAUUUAAGCGAAUAGUGAAAUCGUGUAGCUCAACUAUACGGCUAUUAUUCGAACUGGAUUACUCGAGAACGAGAGAGGUGGCUGGAAUUCCCUGUGUAAGAGUGAAAUCCGUAGAUAUAGGGAGGAACACCGAUGGCGUAGGCAGGCCACUGGCUCGUUUCUGA